GGAUCCCCAAUUUGUCACCCUAUUGAUCAUCGGGGUUGAUUCAGUUGAUCUGGCAGGCAAGGUGAGUGUCCCCUUACCCCUUCCAUGUGCAUCUCUCCCAAAGCUGUGCACUCAGUCUAAGAGGGUGACCUUCCCCAGUAGAGGAGGACCGUUCUUUGGUCAAGGGGAAGAGCUGUAUUCCUCUGCUAGAUCCUCCAAACAAGCUCACAAGGUCCAUUUGUAGGAGAAAGUAGGGUAGUCAAGCUUCCAAGACCCUGGACACAUACAAAUGAGGUACCACAUGUGGCAGUCUACUUUUU
RNAcentral lists this small nuclear RNA (299 nucleotides) under Vulpes vulpes (red fox). RNAcentral describes it as "7SK RNA (ENSVVUG00000005014.1)". It matches the Rfam family "7SK RNA". From Rfam's summary of the family: 7SK was discovered as an abundant small nuclear RNA in the mid-70s but a possible function has only recently been suggested. The record is from Rfam by way of RNAcentral. Lineage: Eukaryota; Metazoa; Chordata; Mammalia; Carnivora; Canidae.